RNAcentral lists this long non-coding RNA (296 nucleotides) under Brassica napus (rape). Its description in RNAcentral is "long non-coding RNA (BNAP_LNC020677)". The record is from RNAcentral. Lineage: Eukaryota; Viridiplantae; Streptophyta; Magnoliopsida; Brassicales; Brassicaceae.
UGUAGAAAUAUCCUAACAUAAAAUACCCGAACCCGACUCGAAGUGUAGAAAUAUCCGAACUGCUACUCACUUAAAUAUAUAUAUCAAACUCUUGUUUUUUGCAUUAACAAAAGUUGCAUCUAAAAUUUCAAAACGACAACUAAAUUAGUAUCUUUCUAUUUUUAAAGUUUUAUCUCCAAACCUAUUAAUAGUUUAUUUUUAAAAAAAAUAGAAAACCAGUUAAAAUAUAUUUUAAAUACAAAAAACUUAAAAAAUGAAUCAUUUAUUUAUUUUUUUCUUCAAAUUUAAAUAUCCGA